RNAcentral lists this ribosomal RNA (252 nucleotides) under uncultured Actinomycetales bacterium. RNAcentral's name for it is "partial 16S ribosomal RNA". It matches the Rfam family "Bacterial small subunit ribosomal RNA", at positions 526 to 777 of the family's 1533-position model. The record is from RNAcentral. Lineage: Bacteria; Bacillati; Actinomycetota; Actinomycetes; Actinomycetales.
CGUAGGGUGCAAGCGUUGUCCGGAAUUAUUGGGCGUAAAGAGCUCGUAGGCGGUCUGUCGCGUCGGCUGUGAAAACUCGGGGCUCAACCCCGAGCCUGCAGUCGAUACGGGCAGACUAGAGUGCUGUAGGGGAGACUGGAAUUCCUGGUGUAGCGGUGAAAUGCGCAGAUAUCAGGAGGAACACCGGUGGCGAAGGCGGGUCUCUGGGCAGUAACUGACGCUGAGGAGCGAAAGCGUGGGGAGCAAACAGGA